Molecule: long non-coding RNA, 987 nt
Filed under: Mytilus galloprovincialis (Mediterranean mussel)
Lineage: Eukaryota; Metazoa; Mollusca; Bivalvia; Mytilida; Mytilidae
Source: RNAcentral
GUGUGAAGUGAAGAUGACAACUGACUGGUUUUUUUUUAAUACAAAUGAACAGAUCAAGAGUCAAGACUACCUGAAUGAUCUACAGUAUCCAAUGACUACUGGCUGGGUUUUUUUUGUACAAAUAAAUAGGUCAAGACUACCUGAAUGAUCUACAGUAUCCAAUGACUACUGGCUGUUUUUUUUUGUACAAAUAAAUAGGUGAUCAAGAAUACUGGAAUGAUCUACAAUAUCCAAUGAUUACUAGCUGUUCUUUUGUACUAAUAAAAAGGUCAAGACUAUUUAAAUGAUCUACAAUAUCCAAUGGCUACUGGCUGUUCUUUUGUACAUACUAAAUAAAGACUACCUGAAUGAUCUAAAUUACUCUAAGUAAUGUGUAAUUUUUUUCUUGCAAUUACAUUUUUCUAAAUCAAGAAUACAGACUACUAUAAAAAAAAAAAAAGAUGUGGUAUGAUUGCUAUAAUGAGACAACUAUCCACAAAAGACCAAAAUGCCACAGACAUUAACAACUGUAGGUCACCGUACGGCCUUCAACAAUGAGCAAAGCCCAUACCGCAUAGUCAGUUAUAAAAGGCCCCGAUAAGACAAUGUAAAACAAUUCAAACGAGAAAACUAACACCCUUAUUUAUGUAAAAAAAUGAACGAAAAACAAAUAUGUAACACAUAAACAAACGACAACCACUGAAUUACAGGCUCCUGACUUGGGACAGGCACAUACAUAAAUAAUGUGGUGGGGUUAAACAUGUUAGUGGGAUCCCAACCCUCCCCUAACCUGGGACAGUGGUAUAACAGUACAACAUAAGAACGAACUAUAAAAAUCAGUUGAAAAAGGCUUAACUCAUCAGACGGACAAAAAUACAAGUGGACAAGUAUCCUUUCAACCAAAAUGAUUAUGAAGAGCCUGUUGUAACAAGCUCUUAUACCCCACUAGUCCUAUAACAUAUGACUUCGCAUUCUUAUUCAAUUUUUAACGUUUUUAUACUGAUAUUU